This is a long non-coding RNA of Haemorhous mexicanus (house finch), 1296 nucleotides long. RefSeq lists it as uncharacterized. Lineage: Eukaryota; Metazoa; Chordata; Aves; Passeriformes; Fringillidae. The record is from RefSeq and is a predicted model, not a curated record. The transcript has 2 exons.
GGCACACCGAGCACCGCACCCCUGCGCUCCAGAGCACAAAACACCCCUUCCCACCGCUCUCACCUGAGAAACACAGCACCCCUUCAGCCGCUGCCGCCUCUCUCGCUCCUCCCGAGCUUCUUGGCCUCCCACACCCUCUGCACCGCACCUGGGCCCCGCCAGUGCCGCGGGCUGGGGGGCAGCAGCUGCACCUUCCUCUGCCUCUGCUCCAGCCCUUGCCCAGGUGCCUCGGCUCCCUUCGUGCUCGCCACCAACUGAUGGCUUCAGAAGGCUGACCUGGAGCAGAGGCCAGGCACAGUUACACCAUAAAGCAGGCAUUUGUUAAAAGGCCUCCACGGAGCCACCUUGGGCAGAACAAGAGCCCAGCCAGGCUACGCCCAAGAUGAACCAAAAUGGCCACAAAAUGGACAAGGUCACGAGGAUCGUUGUGAAAAGGACAGAAACUGGGGCCACUGAAAAGACCCUGGCUGGAAUCCUGGUCUUGCUCAGGACAGUUGUUCACCAAGACCCUGAGGCCUGAGCAAAGCCCUUGGCUUGCCAAGCUGUUGUUUGCAGGUGUGUUUGCUUCCAUGGAAGACUGAACCUAGUGAAAAGGAGAGACCUUGCCCUUUCUUGUGCCUGCUUCACAACAAUGGCCCUGGAAUUUCCCCACCUCUCAGCUUGGCUGGACUUUUCUGGGGUACCUUUGGUGGUCCCCACAGAAGACCCCACAUCUGCUUCACAGCCACCGUGACGGACUGAGAUGGGAGAAGCCUCUCCCUCAAGGACUGAGACAUGAGACCCCUGUGUGGAGAAGCUCCCCCUCCUCCCAAGGACUGGGACUGAAACCCCUCACCUGGGGGAGGUGUGUGGGGGAGGCGAGCUGACCAAAGUGAGAUGUGCACCUGCAGGUGUGACCAUUGCACCAAGAAGACAAUGGUUCUCACCCACUGCUGAGAAUAUGGACUGUUUGUACCCUUCUUCAAUACCUUUCUUUUUUUCCCCCCAGAAAUUACAAUAGACUAUUCUGUACUACUUUUGAUUCGAUUUCAAGACUCAUCCCCUUCCCCCAUCAAAAAAGACUAUAAUAGGAGUUCGAAUCGACCAGAGUCUUUGAGAUCUCCCCUGACGUGACCAGGCAAACUCCAUCGACUGAGACUUUGAAGGCCUUUGUCUCUCUACGUUUGGUAGCUAUAUAGCUUCCUUUCUCUUCCUCCCUCUUUUUUCUUCCUCUUCCCUUUUUCCCCAAUUCCCCCCAAUGCAUUUUGCUGUGGUCAUUCAAUAAAAGUGCAUUUGUUUUUUGAUUGUUACUGCAAA